RNAcentral lists this long non-coding RNA (2172 nucleotides) under Canis lupus familiaris (dog). RNAcentral describes it as "lncRNA (ENSCAFG00000052180.1)". Lineage: Eukaryota; Metazoa; Chordata; Mammalia; Carnivora; Canidae. The record is from RNAcentral.
UUUGUGUAGUGAGAACACUGAUACCUAAAUAUCAGCAUUUUUACUAAUUUGCCCUAAGUGAGCAUCAUCUAAAAUGAUUUCAGAAUUACUUCACCUUUACCACUAUAAAACCAAAACAACACCCCACCCUGGUAGAUAACUAACUUCAUUGGUUUUGUGUUUAUUCUUCUGAUUUUUCUUUUGAUUCAAUAAACAGAUAACAUGUAUUUUUCCUUAUUUCCUUUUUUUCUAGCACAAACACGAAUGCUGUCUAUAUAAGUACUUUGGCACUUAGCUGUUUUCACUGAAAAAAUAUACCCUGAAAAUCAUUCUGUCUCAAUUCAUAGAGAUCAUCAUUAUUCUUCUGUGUGUGUGUGUGUAUGCAAGUUCAUUUGUCCUGUCUUCUGUCCUAUCUUCUCUAGGCUAUCGAGGUGAUUUUGCAGUUUUGGAGUGCUACAAUGAAUAAUCUUGUGCAUGUCUUUUUUACUGCUGGAGGUGGGUCUUCAGGAUAAAUAUAGGUGUGGGAUUACUGGCUUAAAGGGUAAAUGGAUAUGUACUUUUGCUAGAUGUUACCAAAUCUCCUUCCAUUGGAAUUGUACUGUUUUGCAUUAGAAAACAAUGAAUUUGGAAUCAGUUUACUGUUUUUAACAGUGAAGGAAUGGGGUAGUAAUCUGUAUCAGAGAAAUAGGGAUAAUUAUCUGUGCUCUGUCACUGACCCACAAUUUUACAUUUUAAAGCCUGAACCACAGGAAUCUACUAUUUCAUUUAUAGAGUAUGCCAUUUAAUUAUUUUAACUUUUUAUUACAGAAAAUUUCAAACAUCCAUAAAACUAACACUAGACUUGACCUCUUUUAGGCUUCUGUAACUCCACCAUCUCCACAUAUCUGAAGUGCAUAGAAAAAAAGGUGAGAAAGAGAAUAAUAGGUUAGAGACUAUUGUGGCACGGAUUAGUGAAAAUAGCGCAAAAGCAGUCUGGUUGAUGGAUGCAUUAAAAGUUGUAUCUCUUGGGGGAUCCCUGGGUGGCUCAGCUCUGCUUAUGUCCCUGCGCCUCUCUGUGUCUGUGUCUCUCAUGAAUAAAUAAAUAAAAUCUUUAAAAGAAUUGUAUCUCUUAUUUCAGGUCAAAAUAAACAGUGUUUACUGUAUACAUAUGUAUUUGUUAUUAGAGCAGAAGCUACAAAUGUCUUUUAUCAAUGAACCUAAAACAACUUACAGACAUUUGCGAGCCAGCAUCUAAACAUAACACAGAAAACGCUAAAAAAUUCCAGUUUGUUUAAUGACUUAGCCCAAAUCAGAAGUCAGAUACUUAACUGACUGAGCUACCCAGCCCAUUUUUUAAUUGGGUUCUUUUUUGAUGCUAAGUUGUAAGAGCCUCUGCUUUAUGUAUUUUGGAUAUUAAACCCUAUGUAAAGAUAUGAUUUGCAAAUAUUUUCUCCUUUCUUUGGGCUGUCUUUUCACUUAUGAUAGUGCCCUCUGAUGCAAAAAAGUUUUUAAUUUUCAUAACGCCAAUUUAUCCUUUCCUUUUUUGCCGUGUGGUUUUGGUGUCAUAUUUAAGAAACUAUUGCCAAAUCUAUGGUCACGAAGAAAUGCUCUUGUGUUUUUUUCUGAGAAUUUGAUAGUUUUAACUUAAAUUAUAUCUGUGAUCCAUUUUAGGUUUAUUUUUGUGAGUGGUAUAAGUAAGGUAUGGGUCCAACUUCAUUUUUCUUGCAUGUGGGUUUCCAGUUCUCCCAGCACCUUUUUUUUUUAUUUUUUAUUUUUUUAAACUUUUAUUUAAAGAGAUCCUUUCCUCACUGAAUGGUCUUGGCUCUUGUAGAAAAUCAGCUGGACAUAUAUGUGAGAGUUUAUUUCUGGGCUCCCUAUUCUAUUCCACUGCACCAUACAUCCAUCCUUACACCAGAACGUAGUUUUUAUUACUGUAUUAAAGGUUUUCUUUUUGACUGACUAGUUUAUCAUUCUUGGUUUUUUUUUAAGCUUUUUUUUUUUUAAGACUUUAUUUAUUCAUGAGAGACACAGAUCGAGAGAGAGAGAGAGACAGAGACAGAGACAGAGACACAGGCAGAGAGAGAAGCAGGCUCCGUGCAGGGAGCCCAAUGCGGGACUCGAUCCCAGGACUCCAGGAUCAUGCCCUGGGCUGAAGGCAGCCACUCAACUGCUGAGCCACCCAGACGUUCCAAAUUGACUAGUUUAACAUUCUUA